This 761-nucleotide ribosomal RNA is filed under the name uncultured Lactobacillus sp. RNAcentral describes it as "bacterial SSU rRNA". It matches the Rfam family "Bacterial small subunit ribosomal RNA", at positions 62 to 779 of the family's 1533-position model. The record is from RNAcentral. Lineage: Bacteria; Bacillati; Bacillota; Bacilli; Lactobacillales; Lactobacillaceae.
UCGAGCGCACUGGCCCAACUGAUAUGACGUGCUUGUACUGAAUUGACGUUGGAUUACCAGUGAGCGGCGGACGGGUGAGUAACACGUGGGCAACCUGCCCUGAAGCGGGGGAUAACAUCUGGAAACAGGUGCUAAUACCGCAUAACAACGAAAACCACAUGGUUUUCGUUUCAAAGAUGGUUUCGGCUAUCACUUCAGGAUGGGCCCGCGGUGCAUUGGCUAGUUGGUAAGGUAACGGCUUACCAAGGCGAUGAUGCAUAGCCAAGUUGAGAGACUGAUCGGCCACAAUGGAACUGAGACACGGUCCAUACUCCUACGGGAGGCAGCAGUAGGGAAUCUUCCACAAUGGGCGCAAGCCUGAUGGAGCAACACCGCGUGAGUGAAGAAGGGUUUCGGCUCGUAAAGCUCUGUUGUUGGAGAAGAACGUGCGUGAGAGUAACUGUUCACGCAGUGACGGUAUCCAACCAGAAAGUCACGGCUAACUACGUGCCAGCAGCCGCGGUAAUACGUAGGUGGCAAGCGUUAUCCGGAUUUAUUGGGCGUAAAGCGAGCGCAGGCGGUUGCUUAGGUCUGAUGUGAAAGCCUUCGGCUUAACCGAAGAAGUGCAUCGGAAACCGGGCGACUUGAGUGCAGAAGAGGACAGUGGAACUCCAGGUGUAGCGGUGGAAUGCGUAGAUAUAUGGAAGAACACCAGCGGCGAAGGCGGCUGUCUGGUCUGCAACUGACGCUGAGGCUCGAAAGCAUGGGUAGCGAACAGGAUU